Molecule: non-coding RNA, 2620 nt
Organism: Lolium perenne
Lineage: Eukaryota; Viridiplantae; Streptophyta; Magnoliopsida; Poales; Poaceae
Source: RefSeq, a predicted model, not a curated record
AUUUUUCUUUCUCAUCUUCUUCAACCUUGCCCGGGGCGAUAUCUUCUCAGAUUGCUGGGUGACCAGCGGCGUGGUGCUGGAUAAGGCCAUUGCCGCACAGUUAUGUACUGUGGUGGCGUUUUCUCAAGCACCAGGUCAGAGAAAUGGAUAUGUCGGUAUAUGACACAGGUGCAAGAUCAGCCUUACUACCUUGAACAUGUUUGAUGGAAUGUACCACAAGCGCUAAGGCUCAGAUUUUUUGGUUGCUCCUUUUCUCUAAUUUUUUUUAAAAAUUUCUCAUCUCUAGAUUGGAUUUGUGACAUACGAGUGUACCCUGAAGCUGCUGAGAUGAAUGCGAUAGACGUUCUCUGAAUUAUCCUUGGGAUCUAUUUUUAUAUAGAGAUCCUAGGUACUUUGUCCAUGUACAAAUGGUGAUUUAUCAGAAUUCGUGGACAUUAUAAAUAUAGCCUUUUAGUCACAUCUGAGGUUUCAUUUUUUGGGCUAUUUAGGGGCUAGGUGUCACAAGGUGAUUGUUUAAUAUAGCAUCGAUUCAAAUAUGUCUUUCCCAUGAUUUAUAGAGUACAAAAUUAGGCUCAUAUAGGUAGUUAUAACCUCUGAAAAUUGGAACCUGAAUUUACACUAUAUUUAUAAGUAAGAAGAAAAUUGACAUGAAAAGGUUCUGAUGCUCUAGACAUUAUAAUACAAUUCCAAUGCAACAUUAUAAUACGGUUCCACUUCAUCACCUGAGCGUAAGUAUUCAAUGGCAAGUACUAUUACUUGAAAUAUUUAGCAAGAGUCGUCAUUGAUUUCCAACCUUCAAGAACAGGAGGCAAUCCUGGAGCAGUAAAUUGAACAAAUUGAGAGCGUUGAUUCGGCUAGAAUAAUCCUAAUCAAAGAUCUAAACGAAGCUCUUAGCGAACAGGGCCUUUGCACCUCUUUUAUCAUCUUCGGAAUGUUCUAUCAUGAAUGCUUAUUAUCUAGCUCACAAGCAAUAGUUUUUGUUUUGUUUUGUUUAUUUGUAACCGAGAAUAAAGUCAGAAGGGGAAGUUUGUUUGGUUAAAUACAUGACUGUGUUAUGCCAUACGUGGUCCUUUUUUCAUAACCUCUUACAUGUUAUCGUCCUUUUUUCAUACGGUCAUGAACUUGUGAUCUUUCCUAGAAAAUCUCAUGCAAGGUCGUUAUUUUCUCUGAUGCUUUUUUCUGUUAUUGCCCAGCUAGAAGGGGAAGUUUGUUAGGUUAGAUACAUGAUUGUGUUGUGCACUUUAUUGGUGUCAUCUGCGUCCUCAUUAUGGUCCGAGCCAUUUCUCCGUCUUGUGGUGAUCUUGGCACCAUUCUAACUUAAUGCUGCCUAAGAGCCCCAUAAAAGUGGGCAUAGCAAGAGUUUUGCUGUGUCAAUUACCUGCUUUUUUUACCAACUUACACACAGAAAAAUCCCCUACUUCCCUAUGGUGUUUUUUUUCUUUCUAUUUAUAUAAGUACAGUGUAGAAGAAGGCAUUAUUUGGUAUGCUUAAGUCUGGUACUUCAGUAUUAAAGGAUUAUUACAAAUCUCCUAACGAGGUUGGAGAUGUCGAUGUGAAAUUCACUUUACAUUUCCUCUUAGUGAAUUCAAAUAGGACAAGUAGGCAGUAGGAGCAACCAAGUGUAUUAAGUUAGUCGACUUCACUGUGUAGCAUCAUGGGCCAUUUAAAUAAGAAGACGGAGAGCUUUUGACACUUUGCAUUGGCUUGACAUCUUGCCUGAUCCAGGUUAGUGGGAUGCCAGUCAUACAAGUAAGCUUUGUCUCUGAGACAAGUGGAUCAUAGCUUCCCUGAGCUUUUCCUCAUGCUGAUCAUUUAAUUAAUUAUUGCAUUGUACCAUCUGUGGUAUGCAAACUAAAAGCUAAAGCAGUUAUAGGGGAGUCAUUUAUGAUUUAUGUUUGUAUUUUGUAGUUUCAGUGCCUUCCUCUAUGGUUCUUCAUACUCAGAUGCUUUGCCUCUUUAGUCCUGGCACCACUUAUUUGUUUUGAAGCACAUUGUGAGGUAUUCAGAUGCCGUGCAGAUUGUUCUCAUGAAAUGAGUGGGUUUUCUGUUUAGCAUUUCUUCAUGUUUAGCUGAUUGGAAUGCUCGUGACUAGCAUGCUUCAGAUUUGUUCCCCGCAGCUGGGCCUUGAUGGUGGUGAUGCUUAUAUAAGAAGGUUAUUGCAGGCCCUAUGCUCGCUUGUUAUGUAUCAUCGUCAGGGAGUCUUUUGAGUUUAGGUUUCUACUCGGCUAAAUAUACAAAUUGAAGUUGGAUCAUUUAGCUAGGCUCAUCGAUAGUGGUAUCCACUUCACUCUAUUGUUUCAUGAUACAUUUCGCACUCAGAAUCCGGGUCAUUGGGUUUGCUAUGUAUCUGCGGCUUAUACUGAAACUUCUUGUGUGAUAAUGAUGGUCGGUGUGUGGACGUAUGAGUGCUGCAUGUUGGUAGCUAGCUCUGGAAUACACAUAUAUUGUAUCAGUGGUUAAUGCUGGAAGCCUUAAGCUAGCUCAAUGGUAUUCUGCAUUGAUAGCCUUUUCUAAUUAUAUGUUCUGUUUGUGUACAUAUCACGCUAUGUAAUGAGUUUACUCCAGACGGCACAGCCGAUGGAUCUUGAUGAAUGACGCAAUUUGCUUAUUAUUAUGUUUA